This 1366-nucleotide ribosomal RNA is filed under the name uncultured bacterium. RNAcentral's name for it is "bacterial SSU rRNA". It matches the Rfam family "Bacterial small subunit ribosomal RNA". The record is from RNAcentral.
UAGCGGACGGGUGAGUAACACGUAAGAAUUUGCCUUUAGGAGGGGGAUAACAACUGGAAACGGUUGCUAAUACCCCAUAUGCUUUCGAGUGAAAUGAAUUUUUCCGCCUAGAGAGAAGCUUGCGGCUGAUUAGCUUGUUGGUGAGGUAAUGGCUUACCAAGGCGACGAUCAGUAUCUGGUUUGAGAGGACGAUCAGACACACUGGAACUGAGACACGGCCCAGACUCCUACGGGAGGCAGCAGUGGGGAAUUUUCCGCAAUGGGCGAAAGCCUGACGGAGCAACGCCGCGUGAGGGAUGAAGGCCUCUGGGCUGUAAACCUCUUUUAUCAAGGAAGAAGAUCUGACGGUACUUGAUGAAUAAGCCACGGCUAAUUCCGUGCCAGCAGCCGCGGUAAUACGGGAGUGGCAAGCGUUAUCCAGAAUUAUUGGGCGUAAAGCGUCCGCAGGCGGCCCUUCAAGUCUGCUGUUAAAAAGUGGAGCUUAACUCCAUCAUGGCAGUGGAAACUGUUGGGCUUGAGUGUGGUAGGGGCAGAGGGAAUUCCCGGUGUAGCGGUGAAAUGCGUAGAUAUCGGGAAGAACACCAGUGGCGAAGGCGCUCUGCUGGGCCAUCACUGACGCUCAUGGACGAAAGCCAGGGGGGCGAAAGGGAUUAGAUACCCCUGUAGUCCUGGCCGUAAACGAUGAACACUAGGUGUCGGGGGAAUCGACCCCCUCGGUGUCGUAGCCAACGCGUUAAGUGUUCCGCCUGGGGAGUACGCACGCAAGUGUGAAACUCAAAGGAAUUGACGGGGGCCCGCACAAGCGGUGGAGUAUGUGGUUUAAUUCGAUGCAACGCGAAGAACCUUACCAGGGUUUGACAUCCUGCGAAUCUCUUGGAAACAGGAGAGUGCCUUCGGGAACGCAGUGACAGGUGGUGCAUGGCUGUCGUCAGCUCGUGUCGUGAGAUGUUGGGUUAAGUCCCGCAACGAGCGCAACCCACGUCUUUAGUUGCCAGCAUUUAGUUGGGCACUCUAGAGAGACUGCCGGUGAUAAACCGGAGGAAGGUGUGGAUGACGUCAAGUCAUCAUGCCCCUUACAUCCUGGGCUACACACGUACUACAAUGCUACGGACAAAGGGCAGCAAGUUCGCGAGGACAAGCAAAUCCCAUAAACCGUGGCUCAGUUCAGAUCGUAGGCUGCAACUCGCCUACGUGAAGGCGGAAUCGCUAGUAAUCGCAGGUCAGCAUACUGCGGUGAAUACGUUCCCGGGCCUUGUACACACCGCCCGUCACACCAUGGAAGUUGGCCACGCGCGAAGCCGUUACUCCAACCCUUGUGGAGGAGGACGUCGAAGGUGGGGCUGAUGACUGGGGUGAAGUCGUAACA